CAUUCGAUGUGCGCCUCGGAGGUAGCUAACAGCAGUGUCCAUUGCUUCACGUUGAACGUUCAAAAUUAAUUGAACCUUCCAUUAGUUCGGUGUUAGUUAACUAUUGAUGAUUUGGUUGGUCAGGAACUACACCUGCUCUAUUUGUGGUUUGGUGAAUCGGUUAUAGGCAGAUAAUUCGAAAUCGUGUAUAUUGCCGGACAUCCAUCGUACGGAGCAUAAUAUAUUGAUAUCUGUGAAUGGAGAGAAUAUCUAGCAGAACUGGUUGACCCACCCAAAAGUGCAUCUGUUGGAAUAGGAAAAUUAAGUGAUUCGGACGUUUAACAGCCAGGUGUUAACAAGUGAAUAUCGGGCAGUACUAACUAAAAACUUAUCCAAGUAUAACAGACAGUAAAAUCUUGUUUGCGAACACUGUGUCAAGUGCAACAGCCGCCAAAAUAAAGCUAAAAAUGGAUGGUGCCACUGUGAGCCCAAUGCCAGAGGCUCCGUUAGCGAUGAUGGAGAUCGAAAAGACGCCCCCAAGAAGUCCCAGUAAUCAUGACAUGCCACCGCCUCCGGAUGAGAAACGCUAUGACGACGACGACGAUCGAGUAUGGGACUGUGGAGCAUGGUUCGAAUAUAUUCUAGUAGUUGUAGUAUCUUCGAUACUGCUCAUCGCCGCAUCUGUACUGACCAUUUUCUGGGUGAUAUACUAUCGAAGAGGCUUCAACAUGGACGAUCCAAAGCUACAAUUUAAUCUACAUCCCGUUUUGAUGGUUGGCGGUUACAUCACACUUUCCGGAUUUUCCAUUUUACUAUACCGCAUUUGCCGUUGCUGUUCACAUUUGAUCGUAAAAUUGUGUCACACAUUUUUCCAUGCUUGCUCCAUUCCGUGCAUCGUUAUCGGAUUCCUUGCCGUUUGGGACUCUCACAACCAGACUCAAACACCCAACUUUUAUUCAUUGCAUUCAUGGCUCGGUUGCAUCACAAUGGGAUUGUUUGCUCUACAGUUUGUCCUGGGAUUUUUCAGUUUUCUCAUUCUACUGUGUUGUGAGAACGCAACUUAUAAGUUCCGAUCGACUAUGGUACCGAUCCAUGCAAGUUUUGGAGUAGCCACAUUCAUGUUGGCCGUUGCCACAGCAGUUACUGGUUUGACACAAAAGGCACAUUUCGAGUUAGGGGAAAGUUACCAACAAACCAUCGAAGAGGGAAUCAUCAUAAACUCGAUCGGAGUGGUUCUAACAGGUCUUGGUAUAAUCAUUCCAUUCGCCGUAAGACGUUCAAAUUCUCCAGCCAACUGCAAGGUUUAUGUCACCGAACGCAUAUAAGCACGCAUAUGAAUCGAUCUUUACAUCAAAGAUUACUUGCAAUAUAAGAAAUUCAUUUUGUUAGGUAUGAGUGUUAUUUAAAUAAUAAGAUAAAUUUAAAUGUAAGGCAUAUGUUUAGAAGCUGUUUUGUUCCAUUUAUAAAUCAUUGUUUUCAAGGUAGUGCUACCUUUCCUCAAAUGACAUAUCCCAAGCAGCCCAUUUACUUGAAAUAUAUGCUAUGAACUCUAAUUUAUUUUGUUGGAUAGCUUAUAAUGUUUAAUAAUUAAAAAAAUGGACAAAUGUAUCUUUCUUUGCUCAUAAUUCUUCCAUUUAGCAUUUUGUCUUUAAGGUCCAAACGCAAUGAUUGCGGAACGGCGGCGUAAACAAAACAGGUUCAUCCGGCUACUGGCUGAUUUAAACUAGUGAUCGUUUAUAAGAGAGAUACGCGUAAGCUAACAUUUCUGUGAGCCAAUCGAGCAGCAAGAGUUGUCAAAGCGUGAGCCAAACGAACAUGCGUUAUGUUUGUUUUGAACUUUUCUUGAGAAGUAAUGUAAUCCGCUUGAAAUAAUUUCGGUGAAAGUUGCUUUGCACAGAGCAAAAAGUAUGAAGUAUUUCUCUUUUUUUAAUGUUUGUCAAUGAGAUAUUCAGUUGUUGAUUUUGUUUGCUGCUUAUUAGUUUGGAAAUGUAGCUCAAUGAUCGAUAACGAAACACAACACACUUUUUAGCAAUGAGGAAGUCAUGUCCGUGUUACAAUAUUAUUCUCGAUGCCGAGCAAACUCAGCACUGCUGGUCCGUUGCCAAAUCAUUCAAUUUUACUUCCGCUUAUCUCUCAUAUAAAGGAUAAUUUACAAGUGAACAAGCAUGUCGCAAUUUAUGAUGGCCGAACUUUCGCAUCCGUUGUCGUUCCGUUUUAAUCAUUAGUGAGUUAAUGGUACUUUAAAUGCAAUCAUUUUCUGACUUGUUACGCUAUAUACAAAUGUAAUUCGAAAUAAAGUAAUCAUAAACCACUAUGUGGAAAUAUUUGAAGGUCCUUUUAGUAUUAAUAGAACGUAAUAGUUCAUUUCACGGCGAAAUUCUCUCUCUUUCGUUCUUCAACAAAACUUGAAAACAACGGCGCCUGUACCUGACAACUUUGACAGGUACUAGCAUCGUUGUUCUAAAAUUUCCCAAUGGAACAAUUGAACGAUGCACGAGUUCACUAAUUUGACGUUUGAGCGGUGUCAAAAUUUCACUGGUUUCCAUGGCCACUUGAAUAACACGGUACCGCUUAAACGUCAAAUAGUGAACUCGUGCAUUGGUCCAUAGGAGAUGACGUUUUGGGUGAUGAAGCAUUUGGGAAAGAGUAGCACAAAUUUUUGUUAUGUAUUUAUAUUGAUAUAUCAACUACACAACCGACCAUACCACAAAUAUUGUAGAUUUCAAAGCGUUCUAGCUGAAAAAAAAACACUUGCACUAUUGAUCGUGUAAUAGAAAAUUUUUACGAAUACAUCUAAAAAGUCGAAAUAUUGUCGUCAUUACAUUAUUCCACCAAAACAAAAAACGUAGUGUGGCGCUCAUAAGAACGAAUAAACAUAUGUGUCUCAAUCGAAAAUCCAGGCUCAUAUAUUCUAGCA
RNA transcript from Aedes aegypti (yellow fever mosquito), 2896 nucleotides. It is a transcript of the gene named cytochrome b561, with no coding region annotated. The transcript has 7 exons. NCBI's taxonomy places the organism in Eukaryota, Metazoa, Arthropoda, Insecta, Diptera, Culicidae. The record is from RefSeq and is a predicted model, not a curated record.